CUCAGUUAUCUUACAAAAAUGCGUCUAAGUGUAUCGAUUCAUCUGUUGGUAUUGGGUUUAUUCAGCGUUUGCUGGACCACAACCGCCAAUAGUACUGAAACAAAUACGGGAUUCGGAAACGAACUUCUCCUUGUAAAAUUGGACUACCUAGAAUACAAAUUAUUAGAACUACAGGUGCAAACCAGUGAGAUAUUGGAACAACAGAAAAUAUUUGCUAGCCAUGAGAGAAUAAUGAAUGCCAUAUUUGAACUGAAUCCUCGUAAACAUCCAUCCGAUAAUAGUAAACUUCUGAUGGCGAUGUUGAAUGGAAAUCU
This is a long non-coding RNA of Ochlerotatus camptorhynchus, 314 nucleotides long. RefSeq lists it as uncharacterized. The record is from RefSeq and is a predicted model, not a curated record. Lineage: Eukaryota; Metazoa; Arthropoda; Insecta; Diptera; Culicidae. The transcript is spliced from 3 exons.